GGGAGUAAAGCUUUUAGUAGUGAAGCACUGGGUUUUUGCCCCAGGGAAGCCUGUUUGGAUACUCCUU
This 67-nucleotide transfer RNA is filed under the name Modiolus metcalfei. RNAcentral describes it as "tRNA-Lys". Lineage: Eukaryota; Metazoa; Mollusca; Bivalvia; Mytilida; Modiolidae. The record is from RNAcentral. RNAcentral also lists the same sequence under 1 other name.